This 325-nucleotide long non-coding RNA is filed under the name Elaeis guineensis (African oil palm). RNAcentral's name for it is "long non-coding RNA (EGUI_LNC043014)". Lineage: Eukaryota; Viridiplantae; Streptophyta; Magnoliopsida; Arecales; Arecaceae. The record is from RNAcentral.
CCUCCUCAUUGCUGCUGUCGCCUCCAGCCUUUGAAUCUAAUCACAAAGCCCCACAUCAUCGGCCUCCUCCUUUCUUCUACUGACGGACAUCCCUCCAUCCAACCUCUGAGUCCAGACGAUCCCCCUCCUCCUCCGGGCCCCUCCUCCUUUCCGCUGACUAAUGCCCCUCCUUUUCAACCACCGCCGACCAAUGGAUGACUGAUGUCGUAGACUGAACGAUUCCCCUCCUCCUUAUCGUUGGUGCUGCCACCUCCGAGUCAAGCUCCAAAGUUCGAUCUUUUCCUCUCAGGCUCUCUACCUCUCUCGAUCUCUCUCCAUCGCCGGU